This 250-nucleotide ribosomal RNA is filed under the name uncultured bacterium. RNAcentral describes it as "partial 16S ribosomal RNA". It matches the Rfam family "Bacterial small subunit ribosomal RNA", at positions 524 to 773 of the family's 1533-position model. The record is from RNAcentral.
UACGUAGGGAGCAAGCGUUGUCCGGAUUUACUGGGUGUAAAGGGUGCGUAGGCGGCUUAGCAAGUCAGGCGUGAAAACUAUGGGCUUAACCCAUAGACUGCGUUUGAAACUGUUGAGCUUGAGUGAAGUAGAGGUAGGCGGAAUUCCCGGUGUAGCGGUGAAAUGCGUAGAGAUCGGGAGGAACACCAGUGGCGAAGGCGGCCUACUGGGCUUUAACUGACGCUGAGGCACGAAAGCAUGGGUAGCAAAC